Molecule: long non-coding RNA, 4361 nt
Filed under: Heterocephalus glaber (naked mole-rat)
Lineage: Eukaryota; Metazoa; Chordata; Mammalia; Rodentia; Bathyergidae
Description: lncRNA (ENSHGLG00000050473.1)
Source: RNAcentral
GCGGGGGCGGGGCCCACAACCUGGGGGAGUGGCUACACUCGCGGGCUCAGAGGACCUGCGGAGGUAGCCUGGAGACGGAGUCCGACCGGAGUAAAUAUUUAUCAUGUGCCCAUUGUCUGCCAGCAAUGUGCUAGAAGCAGCAAGUACAACGGAGCUUACAGACUUCAUCCUUCUCAUAUAAAAGGGAUGAGUUUAAAAAGAAAAUCACCACUGUUAUAAUGCAAAAUGUGACAGCUUCUGAUUUAGCAUUAGCUACCACUGUCAGCUUCUGACUAUCCACAUUAGGAAGAGCAUCCGACACGUUUAUAAGUGCGCAUGCAUGGAGUGAUUUCAGAAAACAGUUUGCUACCUCUGACUGAAAAUAAUCAUCUCUGAAACUCUGCAAAUUCAACAUGCUUUUCAUAACAUAAAUGUGGAGCUGAGCCUUCUUCUUCCUUCUCAUCCAAUCCCUCCUCAUCAACCUACUGGGGCUCUUUGUUAACCUACUGGAGUCUCACUAAGAAAGAGAGAGCUAGAGAAUUCAGCUUUCUUUCCUGCCUCUUGUUUCAGGGAAGUGUCUUGGCAAAAGCUGGUUGUUGGCUCUCUCUGGGGCUGGGAUCAGGGAAGGAGAGGCUGCAGGCCCAAAAACUCAGUCUCUGCUGGAGUCCUCAGUCAUGUUCAGGGAGAGGCUGCAGUUUGCUAGAGUACCUCUUCCCUUGUUGUUCUCCCCUAGGCCACUCACACUGGGCCACACUGGGGAUAAGUCUUUGAUAAGGUGUCCAGAAGCUCACCAAGCUGUUCAGGGUGCAAAUAUCGAAAGCUGAGACUUCAUCUCACCUCCUAGGUCCCUGGUGUCAUUGCAGGGGUGGAGAAUUUGCUGGGGGACUGGGGUGGGGGUGCUCACUGACUCAGUCCUGCCAUCCUGACACUCACGUCCACCUGUGGUCCUUCUCUGUUAGCCUCACUGGCAAACCUAGUCACCCAUCAUGCCCUGGCCAAAUCUACUUCUCCUUCCCUGGGAGAAGAGGUUCAGUGCCUUGUUCAGUCCCGCCUGACACCAAAAUGCUCUUUGAAGCUCUUUAGAAUCUUCUGAUUCUGCCCUGCUUGCAAGAGUAGAAGAAAGGUGAGUGUUCUAAUUGCAAAUUGUUCCAUUUAACUGUAAGAAUCAUGCCUUACUUCCUCAGGAGUAAGACAGGAACAGAAAUGAUGAGGGCUCUUUGGUCACAAUUGAAGCAAAAUGAAGUGAAGAUGGAAGCUUGCAGUGCUUUGAAGUUACAAGUGGAAGCUCAUCUUUGCUUCUAGCUACAUGAAAGAGAGACAAUCUUGUCAAACCUGUGGACUUGAGUACACAUGCAUGCUCUCAUGAGACAAUCAGCACGUAUUCCUGGCUGUGAUUUAGAUGUGGCUUGUCUCUGCCAAAACUCAUGUUGAUAUUUGGUUGCCAAAGCAGAAGGGUUUGGAGAAGGGGCCUUUGGAAGGUGACUGGGUCACUGGGGUACCAUCCUCGUGAGUGGAUUAGUGUUUUUCUCCAGAGGCUAGACUAGAUCUUGUGAGAAAGGAUUCAUUCUUCUGAGAGUGUGUUUCUAUCAAGUGAGCCUGGUGCCUCCCCUCUCUUUCCAGCUUGCUUUUCUCUUGCACACACCCACUUCACCUUCUGUUUUACUCCAGGAGUUGGUACAGAUUAAGGCUCUCCCCAGAUGUGGCCACCUGAUCUUGGUUUUCCCAGCCUCCAGGACCAUGAGCCAAAAUAAACCUCUUUGGUCCAUGAUACCCAGACAUUGAAGAUAUUCAGUUUCAUCCCCUGGAGAAAAAGAAAGAGAACUGAAUAUUUGGAGGGAAAGAAUGUGUUGUUAAAGUCUGAUAACUGAUAAUGAAAUCCUUGUUAUUGUUUUAACAAGUGCAUAGGUUGGAAGAAGACUUCCUUCCAGACCUCGCAGCUUGGACCUCUGCCCUAUUUACAGUUCUUAACUAAGGGUUUCUCCUACCCAGUGAAAUUUUUCCAUGUGUAACUCUAAAGGGUCUUCAGAACAUCUGUCCAGGGCCCUUGGUGGAGAGUGAAUAGCAUUCCAUAACUGUCCCUUUUUGAACCAGUGCCAAAAGUCUCAGCUUUUCCAUGCUGAAUAUGAAAAAGCUUUUUAUGGUGUCAUUAGGAAGGAGAUUCUGGCACCACCAGAAUUAAAAGUCAUGUGGGUGGCAGGGUUUUGAGUCCCUCAACCAAUGUGAUGCAUAUCCCUGUAAUUGUUUUGCAGGGCCUCUAACCAGUAGGUUGGUCUUAUCUCCCUACCUGAGAUAGCUCCCAGGCCCUCUGAUGCUAAUGUGAAGUUGCCUUUACUUUGGGAAAGCAAGGUUAAAUAAGACAGUUUGUAGCCAUGUAACCCCAGCACUCUGGGAGGCUGAGGCAAGAAGAUUGCAAGUUCAGGAAUAGUCUAGGCAUCUUGGCAACCCAGAAAGAAUCUGUCUCAAAAUAAAAAAUAAAACAGGGCUAGAGAUGUAUCUCAGUGUGACAACUCUGUGUUCAAUUCCCAGUACUGCCAAAAACAAACAAACAAAAAGACAAGACACUUGUUCUAUAGCACAUUAGGAUAACUAUGGCUGACAAUAAUUAAUUGUAUAUUUCAAACUACAGUAGUUUAUAGAGAGGAUUUUAAAUGUCACAACACAGAGAAAUUAUAAAUGUUUGAGGCAAUAGUGUUAAACCAAGUACCUUGAUAACAUGUUGUAUGCAUUUAUUGAAAUACUACACCAAAUCCCAUAAAUAUAUACAAUUCAUAUGUGGUAAUUUAAAAAAUAAUUCAUUGAAGGGACUUUCAACAGCUCUUAACUCUAUGUCAAAGGAUAUUCCCAGACAAUAAGAGCUUCACUUAUUAUAAGGGUAGAUUUCAUUGCCCUCUUGCCCAACACAUGCAGGAUUUACAUUCAUCUGAAGACUGGCAUGGCUGGUCAGCCUACCCUUCUCCUGGGUUGUGGGACUAGCAAGUAGGUGGAAGAGAGAGUAGGGGUUCAAGACUUGGGGGAAUUCUUCAAGGUGUGACCUUAAAUAAGGGACAGCUACACAGGAGCAUUUUUUCCUGAUCUUAAGGCAGUCUACACUCCAACUGAUGCUUGAAGGAUCAGCAAUUCCUGUUAUACAGGGGAGAUACUCAUUUUGGGGGUUUUAAGCCAUGAAGAUAGGAUAAAGUCUCAAGCAUAGACCUUGUCCUACCCCUCAUCCUCUGCCCCCUGAAAUAUUCUCUUUCCUUGAAAAGCCAAAGUGUGAUUGGUAGUGGCCAGCUUUGUAGAGCAGAGAGCAGGAUGUCUCUGUCAUCAAUGGGAAUAAAGAUGCCACAAUAACCUCUUCUCAAAGGAAGGGCCUGACAUGAGGCUCCUAUCCUCAAACAACUGAGCAAGGUCUACCAAGCAACAGUGCAAAUAUUUGGUUCAGUCUGACCUUAUAGUGAGUUGGGGCAUCAGGACCUAGAAAGCAGAAUUUGCCUCAAUAUUUUAGAAGUCUGCAGUCCCAAGAGGGAGACUGCACAGGGCUGGAAAAGGCAAGCCAAAGAGAAAAAUCAAACAUUGAGAGCUUGUCUCUGGGGCAUAGAUUUUAACCAAAACAGAAAAAAACCACCAACAAACUACAUAGUAAAACAUUCCCCUGAGGAAAUUAGCCAAGGUACUAGAUUUUCCUCCACUCCAAACAGUCCUAAAGCUUAUGGCUCCAAGGCCAGACCUUUAGAGUGGCAAAAUGAACAAUGAGUAUAAGGAUUCUUGAGUGCACUCAGCUGAGAUAAAAGCCACAGACUCAUAAUAAAAUUGUGGACAUUUCUCUAGAUUCUGUGUCAAUUAGGGCAGAGAAACAGAGAUAGCACUUGCACGAAUGUUUUCAGGAGCUGACAUUUUCCUGAGUGUGUCAAAGUUGAAACCCCCCGGGGCCUAGGCUGAGACAUCAGGAUAAGGACUCUGGACCCAGGCAAGGCUGGGAAGGCAAUGAGGCUGGUAGAGAUUGGGACAUAAUUCCCACAGGCAGCAAGUGUUUUUGAUCCUUUAAGACUGAGAAAGUUGUCAAUGCUGGGAAGAACAUGGAAGUGAGGAGUGACAGGAGUGGAUGAGAGAUCACAGGUUGAAGCCUCUAAGUAAGUUCUUGAAUGGAUAUGGCUGGGAGGUCACAGAAGUCAAGAUCACUCCCAGUUAGCAGGCAAAGAGCUAUGCACAAGCAGCAGUUGACCAGGUAUCCAGGGGUGUCCAGAAUGGGCCAGUCUACACCCAUUGCCCCAGUGUGAACUUAAUAAUGGAGCCAGCACUUUCAAAAGUGCCCACACUUGAAUGAGUAAUUAUGUGGCCACUUUUCUGAUGCAGCAUCCCCUUGGGCCAAGCCUGGUUUCCUGCACAUUGGGCCUGUACAGUUG